GUGCCAGCAGCCGCGGUAAUACGUAGGGUGCGAGCGUUAAUCGGAAUUACUGGGCGUAAAGCGUGCGCAGGCGGUUUGUUAAGAUAGGCGUGAAAUCCCCGGGCUCAACCUGGGAACUGCGUUUAUGACUGGCAGGCUAGAGUAUGGCAGAGGGGGGUGGAAUUCCACGUGUAGCAGUGAAAUGCGUAGAGAUGUGGAGGAACACCGAUGGCGAAGGCAGCCCCCUGGGCCAAUACUGACGCUCAUGCACGAAAGCGUGGGUAGCAAACAGGAUUAGAUACCCUGGUAGUCCACGCCCUAAACGAUGUCAACUAGGUGUUGGGUGGGUAAAACCAUUUAGUACCGGAGCUAACGCGUGAAGUUGACCGCCUGGGGAGUACGGCCGCAAGGUUAAAACUCAAAGGAAUUGACGGGGACCCGCACAAGCGGUGGAUGAUGUGGAUUAAUUCGAUGCAACGCGAAAAACCUUACCUACCCUUGACAUGUCCAGAAGCCCUUAGAGAUUUGGGUGUGCCCGAAAGGGAGCUGGAACACAGGUGCUGUAUGGCUGUCGUCAGCUCGUGUCGUGAGAUGUUGGGUUAAGUCCCGCAACGAGCGCAACCCUUGUCGUUAAUUGCCAUCAUUUAGUUGGGCACUUUAACGAGACUGCCGGUGACAAACCGGAGGAAGGUGGGGAUGACGUCAAGUCCUCAUGGCCCUUAUGGGUAGGGCUUCACACGUCAUACAAUGGUCGGUACAAAGGGUCGCCAACCCGCGAGGGGGAGCCAAUCCCAGAAAGCCGAUCGUAGUCCGGAUCGUAGGCUGCAACUCGCCUGCGUGAAGUCGGAAUCGCUAGUAAUCGUGGAUCAGCAUGUCACGGUGAAUACGUUCCCGGGUCUUGCACACACCGCCCGUC
This 895-nucleotide ribosomal RNA is filed under the name uncultured bacterium. RNAcentral describes it as "bacterial SSU rRNA". It matches the Rfam family "Bacterial small subunit ribosomal RNA", at positions 505 to 1398 of the family's 1533-position model. The record is from RNAcentral.